This 406-nucleotide ribosomal RNA is filed under the name uncultured bacterium. Its description in RNAcentral is "bacterial SSU rRNA". It matches the Rfam family "Bacterial small subunit ribosomal RNA", at positions 99 to 518 of the family's 1533-position model. The record is from RNAcentral.
CGGACGGGUGAGUAACACGUGGGCAACCGUGCCUCAUAGAGAGGAAUAGCCUUCCGAAAGGGAGAUUAAUACCUCAUAACAUUGCAGUUUCGCAUGGAACAGCAAUUAAAGGAGCAAUCCACUAUGAGAUGGGCCCGCGGCGCAUUAGCUAGUUGGUGAGGUAACGGCUCACCCAAGGCGACGAUGCGUAGCCGACCUGAGAGGGUGAUCGGCCACAUUGGGACUGAGACACGGCCCAGACUCCUACGGGAGGCAGCAGUGGGGAAUAUUGCACAAUGGGGGAAACCCUGAUGCCAGCAACGCCGCGUGAGUGAUGACGGCCUUCGGGUUGUAAAGCUCUGUCUUCAGGGACGAUAAUGACGGUACCUGAGGAGGAAGCCACGGCUAACUACGUGCCAGCCGCCGC